Molecule: ribosomal RNA, 450 nt
Filed under: uncultured Glomeromycotina
Lineage: Eukaryota; Fungi; Glomeromycota
Description: SSU rRNA
Rfam family: Eukaryotic small subunit ribosomal RNA
Source: RNAcentral
AGCAGCCGCGGUAAUUCCAGCUCCAAUAGCGUAUAUUAAAGUUGUUGCAGUUAAAAAGCUCGUAGUUGAAUUUCGGGGUUAGUAGGUUGGUCAUGCCUCCGGUAUGUACUGAUCUCACUGAUUCCUCCUUCCUUAUGAACCGUAAUGCCAUUAAUUUGGUGUUGCGGGGAAUUUGGACUGUUACUUUGAAAAAAUUAGAGUGUUUAAAGCAGGCUAACGCUUGAAUACAUUAGCAUGGAAUAAUGAAAUAGGACGUUCGAUCUUAUUUUGUUGGUUUCUAGGAUUGACGUAAUGAUUAAUAGGGAUAGUUGGGGGCAUUAGUAUUCAAUUGUCAGAGGUGAAAUUCUUGGAUUUAUUGAAGACUAACUACUGCGAAAGCAUUUGCCAAGGAUGUUUUCAUUAAUCAAGAACGAAAGUUAGGGGAUCGAAGACGAUCAGAUACCGUCGUAG